RNAcentral lists this ribosomal RNA (497 nucleotides) under uncultured bacterium. Its description in RNAcentral is "partial 16S ribosomal RNA". It matches the Rfam family "Bacterial small subunit ribosomal RNA", at positions 28 to 507 of the family's 1533-position model. The record is from RNAcentral.
GAUGAACGCUGGCGGCGUGCCUAAUACAUGCAAGUCGAGCGAACAGAUGAGGAGCUUGCUCCUCUGACGUUAGCGGCGGACGGGUGAGUAACACGUGGAUAACCUACCUAUAAGACUGGGAUAACUCCGGGAAACCGGAGCUAAUACCGGAUAAUAUAUUGAACCGCAUGGUUCAAUAGUGAAAGACGGUUUUGCUGUCACUUAUAGAUGGAUCCGCGCCGCAUUAGCUAGUUGGUAAGGUAACGGCUUACCAAGGCAACGAUGCGUAGCCGACCUGAGAGGGUGAUCGGCCACACUGGAACUGAGACACGGUCCAGACUCCUACGGGAGGCAGCAGUAGGGAAUCUUCCGCAAAGGGCGAAAGCCUGACGGAGCAACGCCGCGUGAGUGAUGAAGGUCUUCGGAUCGUAAAACUCUGUUAUUAGGGAAGAACAAAUGUGUAAGUAACUAUGCACGUCUUGACGGUACCUAAUCAGAAAGCCACGGCUAACUACGUG